The sequence is a ribosomal RNA, 1065 nucleotides long. The stretch from base 478 to 1065 matches the Rfam family "Eukaryotic large subunit ribosomal RNA", at positions 1 to 600 of the family's 3401-position model.
UUACCGAGUUUACAACUCCCAAACCCCUGUGAACAUACCUUAAUGUUGCCUCGGCGGAUCAGCCCGCGCCCUGUAAAACGGGACGGCCCGCCAGAGGACCCAAACUCUAAUGUUUCUUAUUGUAACUUCUGAGUAAAACAAACAAAUAAAUCAAAACUUUCAACAACGGAUCUCUUGGUUCUGGCAUCGAUGAAGAACGCAGCAAAAUGCGAUAAGUAAUGUGAAUUGCAGAAUUCAGUGAAUCAUCGAAUCUUUGAACGCACAUUGCGCCCGCUGGUAUUCCGGCGGGCAUGCCUGUUCGAGCGUCAUUUCAACCCUCAAGCCCCCGGGUUUGGUGUUGGGGAUCGGCUCUGCCUCACGGCGGUGCCGCCCCCGAAAUACAUUGGCGGUCUCGCUGCAGCCUCCAUUGCGUAGUAGCUAACACCUCGCAACUGGAACGCGGCGCGGCCAUGCCGUAAAACCCCAACUUCUGAAUGUUGACCUCGGAUCAGGUAGGAAUACCCGCUGAACUUAAGCAUAUCAAUAAGCGGAGGAAAAGAAACCAACAGGGAUUGCCCUAGUAACGGCGAGUGAAGCGGCAACAGCUCAAAUUUGAAAUCUGGCUUUCGGGCCCGAGUUGUAAUUUGUAGAGGAUACUUUUGAUGCGGUGCCUUCCGAGUUCCCUGGAACGGGACGCCAUAGAGGGUGAGAGCCCCGUCUGGUUGGAUGCCAAAUCUCUGUAAAGUUCCUUCGACGAGUCGAGUAGUUUGGGAAUGCUGCUCUAAAUGGGAGGUAUAUGUCUUCUAAAGCUAAAUAUUGGCCAGAGACCGAUAGCGCACAAGUAGAGUGAUCGAAAGAUGAAAAGCACUUUGAAAAGAGAGUUAAAAAGUACGUGAAAUUGUUGAAAGGGAAGCGUUUAUGACCAGACUUGGACUUGGUUAAUCAUCUGGGGUUCUCCCCAGUGCACUUUUCCAGUUCAGGCCAGCAUCAGUUUUCGCCGGGGGAUAAAGGCUUCGGGAAUGUAGCUCUCUUCGGGGAGUGUUAUAGCCCGUUGUGUAAUACCCUGGCGGAGACUGAGGUUCGCGC